GGACGAGGCAGCACGCACGGCGGUCUCGCGACGGUAAUUCAUCUGUCUGAAUCUCUUCAGUGUCGCGUGUGACGCUGGCAGUGUCUUCGUACUCUUGGCGCCCUAAAGCCGAGAAAGGAAAAGCGAGUUCAAGAACCACCUUCACUUCGGGCGCGAGGGGUGCACUCCUGCCCGUGCUCUCCUUCUCCUGCACCGAAAUCAAUGUCCUCGGCCAUCGUGUCGGUGGGGAGCCGGCAGGUCAUUCCAUUGGCGAGUCGGCUGACUGUUGGCAUACGCCUGCAGGGCACGAUCGGCUUCGUCGACCCCGCGAGCCCGUAUGUCGUCAAGCCGCGUCCCUAUGUCUCCUACUUGGCCACGACGCUGCGGCGCCUGCAGUGCGCCGUUGCGUUGUUUGUGCCGACGAACACGGAGCACGACCGGGAGAUGAUGAACAUGUUCUACCGUCGCGACUUCACCGUCCCGUUCCGCUACGUGAAUGAUCAUUCGAAGUUCAUCGGCGCUGGCUCAGGCCGCGGCAACCGCAAGAGAGGCAUGGCGCCGAACAACUACACCGAGUACCUGCGCAUCAUGGCGAACGAGGCGAACGGCACAGGGCAGGACACAAGCCGCAUCCUCUUCAUCGACUCCGAGGUGAACUACCGCUUCACGCCAGUGCAGACCAUCGUCCUCGACGCCUACGAGCCUCUGACGCGGCGGCAGCAACGAAGGCUUGUCCAGCAGCAGUACAGCAACCCCUUCGGUGACGUCUCGUCUCGGCACGCACGGCGCUAUGGGGCAGCUGCGGCGAGGGCGAGAAAGACGACGGUGCGACACCGCGCCGUCGUGAGUGCGCAACACUUGCAGGAUGCUAUGGACAUGCAGCAGAAGUACACAGACUUCCUGAUAGCGGAGCAGGAGGGGGUGCAGCUGCCGCCGGAGAUGCGAGAUGGGGUGCAGGACCGCCAUGGGGACGACCUCAGCCACUUUUCAAAAAGGCGCACACAGCGCUCCGCCUCGUCGUCGCCGCCACAUCCGCAGCAGGGUGGCGGCACGCGCGGUCGUAUUUUGGGGCCGCUAUCGACGCCUGGUCCGUCCUCGUCGGCGGACACCGAGAGCGACAAGACGCCCCCAGACGGCAACAAGGGCAUCAAGGAGGUGCAGCAGCAGCGGCCGAGCAUGUCCUGCGCACUUGCCGUGAGCCUGGAAGACUACAGCCUUGUUGCGCUGGCGGAGAUGAUCGCGGAGAUGUCGGCCAGCGAAACAAGCGUGGCCGACUACAUCAAGACGGAGCCGCUGAUCGAGAAGGUGGAGGUGCCCUUUCACGGCAAGGCGAACUACCUCGCACCCGAGAACUGCGACAACAUCGACCUGCUCAACUGGGACGAGAUCCAGGUAAUGGAGAAGGCGCACAGCACGGGAGUGCCCGAGACGGUAGAGGAGACGGAGGACCACAAGGACUUCUUUCGGUGAGCGAGAGAGGGUGGGGGAGGCAACUUGAUCACGUGGGAAUGUCGGCCUGUCGCUCUCUGUGCGUGUGUGUGUGUGUGUGUACAGCAGGCGGGGAGCCACCUUCGUCUCCUGCCGGGGGUGGGGGAACGCACUCGUUCUGUGCUCGUUCAACGGUGCUUCAAAACCCCUCUUGUCACACCCACCGACACACACACACACACGGGUGUCCUCUAGCUAGCUCCUCUACGCCAUGACGUGGCAGGGCGCGAAGGGGUGCAUGGGGCACAUGUUCACGUCUGCGAACUCCUCACCAUCACCGCCUUUAGUUUUCGCUUACUUUAUGGUCUGCUGUCUGCCUGCAUGUCUGCCGGGAGGAGAGUGGGGAAGGUCUCCCUUGUUUUGUCGAGACGCGCAGGCACCCGCCACACCUCUGGUGUGGUGAUCCUGGUUUGCAGAAGGGUCCCCUGCUACUCUGU
This 1904-nucleotide unclassified non-coding RNA is filed under the name Leishmania donovani. Its description in RNAcentral is "gene:LdHU3.09.0690(CDS-product:hypothetical_prote in_conserved)". The record is from RNAcentral. Lineage: Eukaryota; Euglenozoa; Kinetoplastea; Trypanosomatida; Trypanosomatidae.